Molecule: microRNA precursor, 96 nt
Filed under: Choloepus hoffmanni (Hoffmann's two-fingered sloth)
Lineage: Eukaryota; Metazoa; Chordata; Mammalia; Pilosa; Megalonychidae
Description: miRNA (ENSCHOG00000014687.1)
Source: RNAcentral
CCUGGGAACUUAUUAGAAAUGCAAAUUCUAGAGGCUUACCCCAAACCUCCUGAAUUAGAAACUCUGGGAAUGGAGCCCAGCAAUCUGCAUUUUAAC